AGGAAUAACCAAAAGGGUGAGAAGAUGAUUAGUUAAAAUCACCCUUAUGGUGGCUGGCCUGUGUAAGUGUUAGAGAGAUAAUUUUUCUUUUCUCCUUUUGUUCUUUCAACACUUCAAAAAACCCUAAUGAAAAUAUAUGCUAUAAAGUUCCUUAUAUAGCCAAAAAGAAACAAGUCAACAUUUGACCUUUCUCUCCCUCUUUCAGUCUAUAUGGCCGGCCCCCUUAGUGUUGUUUAGGCUUUGGGCUUUUAUUUAUUUCAAGUCAUCCAAUGCUUGAAUAAAAGCCCAAUGGGUUUAGGCCCAAUGGACCCAAUUAAACCCGAACGUUUCUUUAAGCGCAAAACGAUCUUAUAUCGCUUUUAUGAUUUCUUUAG
RNAcentral lists this long non-coding RNA (374 nucleotides) under Malus domestica (apple). RNAcentral's name for it is "long non-coding RNA (MDOM_LNC008318)". Lineage: Eukaryota; Viridiplantae; Streptophyta; Magnoliopsida; Rosales; Rosaceae. The record is from RNAcentral.